Sinocyclocheilus anshuiensis is the source of this 126-nucleotide long non-coding RNA. RefSeq lists it as uncharacterized. The transcript has 4 exons. NCBI's taxonomy places the organism in Eukaryota, Metazoa, Chordata, Actinopteri, Cypriniformes, Cyprinidae. The record is from RefSeq and is a predicted model, not a curated record.
GGGUUUUAAGUAGCAUCUUUUGAAAAGGCUUUCUAGUUAGCCUCUUCAGUGGUCUUGUGUAUCCAGGCUAGUUCUGCUCACAUAGCAUAACUAUCUGAGGAUAGCUGUGCUCUUAACUUUGGUGGG